GGCAGGCGGGGUCCCCCAGCACGGCGGGGCCGCUCCUCCGGCCCUGCGGGUCCUCGCAGCACCCCUUACGCCUACUGGGGCCGGGCAGCAAACAGACUUUGAUCCUCCGAGCUGAGUCCACGUGCCAAGACCCCGCCUGGCGGGUGGCCUGAGACCCUCCCUCUGGGCUUCCACCGGCCUGCAUCCAGUAGAAGAGACCAGAGACCGCGCCCGCUGUGUGACAGACUGCAUCCAGGGAGGGGCCGAGAGGGGGAGCCCGUGGGUACGGGACUCCCGGGUUGGGGUGGGUGGGGUGCGGGUCCUGUCAAAGAACCGGGAUGAGGCCGCAUCCGUAAAGGAGUGCUGCAUGAACUUGGGACUGCUCAACACCGAGCUGAGGAGUUAGACCUUAGGAGCAGUCUCGCAAGCGGCGAGAACUGAGUCUUUGUAAAUAUAUCAGUAAAUAUUUACACCUAUCACCACCAUCCCUAGGAGACCUUGUGUAAAGGCAGAUAUUUCUGUCACUGAUUAUCUAAGGACAGUUUAGGCUACAGACUUCAAGCAGGGGCAACCUGGGUUCUGGUGCUGGCUUUGUCACUAGCCAGCUGUGUGACUUUAGAAGAGUCCACUAAUCUCUCUAGACCUGUUUCUUCAAACAUAAAGGAUUGGGCAAGAGGAUCUCUUCAGAUUCUUUCUGACUCUAAAAUUCUAAGGCUCUAUGAUUGAACAAACAUUUUAUUUAUGGACUACAAAUAGCCAAACCCUGUGUUGGUUGCUAUGGGGAAGGGGAGGGGCGGUUGAGAAUAAGGAAGAAUGCGCUUAGUCCGGUGGAGGUAAAAUACAAACGUAUAAAAUGUUUAAAUUACAAUGAAAUACUCAAUAACUUGUACCAACAUGAAUUUAGAGUGCAAACAUAUGCACUGAGUGGAGAUUAGUUCAUCUGGAAGUGAAGAGUUCCCGAUCCUAAAGUAGAGGGGUGGCUGGAAUCAGGUAACCUAAGCCAGACCCCUGAAAGGCCUCACCACAGCCCCUGAACAGGAGGAAGAACCCCCACUGUUUUGGACAAAACAAGACAAAGGCAAAGCUAGCCAGUGCCUCAGGAUCUAUACAUAAGGCUAGUUUGGAGCCUUGUUAUUUUGCAUUAAAAAAAUAUAUUUCUAUUUUCCCCC
Acinonyx jubatus (cheetah) is the source of this 1148-nucleotide long non-coding RNA. RefSeq lists it as uncharacterized. Lineage: Eukaryota; Metazoa; Chordata; Mammalia; Carnivora; Felidae. The transcript is spliced from 2 exons. The record is from RefSeq and is a predicted model, not a curated record.